RNA transcript from Salvia splendens (bonfire salvia), 3719 nucleotides. It is a transcript of the gene named protein NLP6-like, with no coding region annotated. The record is from RefSeq and is a predicted model, not a curated record. Lineage: Eukaryota; Viridiplantae; Streptophyta; Magnoliopsida; Lamiales; Lamiaceae. The transcript has 7 exons.
UGCUAACAACAAAUAAUAGUACAAUCGUUAUUCUAUUGGUUCAUAGCUGAAUUGCAAAGACACUUUCCCUCAAUCAUUCAGUUUGAGAUGGAUGAUGAACUCAUACGAGACGGAUGUCUUGACGAGUAUUCUUCAAUUACAGAUUUCAAGCAGAAUUUGGGUGAAGAGCCUUUGAUACAUGAGGAAUUCGCAGGAGGAUGGGUUUUGUAUGAGAAUGAGAAAGAGAAAGAGAAAGAGAAACUAUCAAGCCAACUCAAAAUCAUAUCUCUGCUCAGAAUAAUUACAUCGUCAAGCUAUGGGAUGGUGGCGCACUCCCAUUGUUUGAUGCAAUUUUGGACAGUGGAAGGGAGCCAUCACUACCUCUCUUGUUCACACCACCCUUUUUAUGUUGGAAGUCUACACAAGGGAUUAUGUAGGCUGAGGAAGCUAUGUAUCGAUCAGCAGUAUGUUGCCGGAGGAGGAGAUGACGAGCAGCAGCUUGGAGGCGUGGGACGGGUGUAUCGGAACAUGCUACCCGAAUCCACACAGGAUCUGAGUCUAUACUCCACCCAUGAAUUUCCGAUGCGGGAUGAAGCUGCUCGCUGCGGUUUCAGAGCUUACAUCGCACUGCCUCUAUUUGAUUCCACCCACCCAAAUCAAUUCUACGGUGUGUUGGAGAUCUUUCUAGGAUGUAAUUAUGUUCAUAUGAUGAGACAUUUACUAUCUCUGCUGGGUGGAGAACUGCAGUCAGCAGGGUUGAGAUCCAAUCACAAGCCCACUAUUGCAAAUAUAAUGAGGCGACCUGGAAGUGAUAUAUCAGAGGUACUUGAAUUGGCUAUGGAGACAAUCCCGCGAAUAUAUCUGGCACUAGUUUGGAUCCCUUGUAACAAGCAAUGUUCUAACAUCUCCACCAACUUACGCUGCAUGGAGAUGGUAUCCUUCAUAGAUUCUCAAACUAAGAUAUUAAAUUCGGGGAUAGAUAUCGAUGCUGAUAUGCGUGUCUAUCUUCUAGCUUGUGAAUAUCACAAUCUUCAAAUAGAUCUUCGCAGGUGCCAUUCAACUUUACGUGGUCUCACUAUAUCUGAAAAUUCGAUGGCUCACUAUGCCCAACGGGCUAGGAUGUCCCAUUGUAUUGCAGUUUCUCAUCAGAGCAAUGACAAUAACUUGGACUACGUCAUUCAAUUUUUUCUUCGACCAAAGUAUACACGCGAUGAUCAUUCUCUACGCUUGCUGUUAAGGCUACUGAAGAUCAAUCUCAAGAGUGUGAGUGUAAUGUUUGUAUCUGGAAAAUCACUUCUCGAGGAAUAUGAAAGGCCUGAUGCAACUGAAUGCGAGUCAAUCGAUAGUUUCAGUUUGAUCAAGUCUAACAAGCAAAACCUUUUGGAGUUGGACAUGACAACAUACUUGAAGACGGUCGACUCAUGUUGCCUAAAACCUUCCUCUGCGGGUACAGACAAAGGAUGGGUUUUUUGCUUGCCAGCUGAACAAAGCGUAUGCGAAGAACAUGUUGAAAGUAACUCGUCGUUGGUCAAGGAGAAGAUGGAAGGUUUAAUGGGAAAAAUAGCAAAAAAAUCUUGGAAACACAAUAAUUGGAUAGUCCAAUUUUGGGCGCCCAAAAUGGAGAAUGAUAGGUGUUGUCUGAAAACUUCAGAUCAACCUUAUGCUGUUGGCUGUCUUGCAGAGGGUGUAGCUUCCUUUAGGAAACAUUGUAUGGAAAAUUACUAUUUUGUUGACGACAAAGCCAAACAAGAUGAACUCGGACCCCCUGGACGUGUCUUCAGAUUCAAACAUCCUGAAAUUAGCCCCGACCUCUUCUACUACACUAGAGAAGAAUUUCCAAAGAGAAACUUUGCUAUGGUUUGUGGCAAUCGAGGAUACUUGGCUUUACCCGUAUUUGGGAAUAAAGUUAAAGGAUGUUACAAGAUUGUGGGUGUGCUAGAGUUCCUAGGAUUUUGUCAUUCUGACCUUCCACUCAUCGAAAAACUAAUGAAGGCAACAAGACUACGCUCGCACAUAAACUAUUGUCGGGGAUUCUUAGCAAAUGAACCUGUCAGUAUUUUCAAUGGUGCGGGAAAAGCUUUGAGAGAAAUCCGUAAUGUCCUUAAAUUAACCAACGUCAUUCCCCAACUCUAUAUGGCAAAUGUUUGGGUCCCUACGGGAGACUGUGGUAGUACUCCUAAUAGUAAUAGGAGUUGCAUGGAGCUGAAAUUGUCUACUCGUUAUUUGUUGGAAUCUAUGGCUAAUCACCGGAUUCAUGUUCAAGCCAGAAAAGGGAUGAUUGGGAUGGUAUUGGCAUCUGAAAACAAAUCAUGUUUUUGUCCAACUUUAAGUGAGUUUAGCAUAGUUGACAACCCCAUGUCACACUAUGACAUGAGGGAUCGACGUGAUGUUUGUUUUGCAAUUUGUUUGCAAAGUUCAGAUACCGGCAACCUUGUUUAUGUUAUGGAGUUCUUUCUCUACCAAGGUCCUGCAACACAUAUGUGUGUUGGGUCCUUCUUGAGCCUUCUAUUGCCAAUACUACUGCAUAAAUUAAGAUCAUUUAAGCUGGCAUGUGGAAAGCAACUAGGAGAAGAACUGGUGGUUGAAGUUAUUGAAUUUUCUGAUGCAAACAAGCUUGAUUCCUCUGAAUUAGAGCAUGCAUGUGUGUAUCCAGUCAUAUUUAAAAGUGUGCAGUACAAUCAAAAGGGGUGCCAUCUCACUGAAGUACAACAACCGAAUGCGUAUCAUCAUAUGGAAGAAGAACAACACGCAGAAGAAUGCAAUGAAGAAGAACAACAUGCAGAAGAAAGGGCCGUUGGUAAUUCACAUUUCAGUGCACCAAAAAGAGAGAAGAGAAAAAAGCUAAAAGAUGUUGACGCUGAGGUUCUCAAAUCACAUUAUGGGAAGAAGCUAAAAGAUGUUGCAAAAGAGGUUGGUGUCAGUAAGUCAACAUUUAAGCGCGCAUGCAGGGAACUUGACAUUCCGAGGUGGGAAAAUAAUAUAAAACAAAAGAAAAAUUCAUCCAUUGUUGAGCAAGACAUGUUGCCAUCAAGCAGCAACCUUGAUCCAUUGGAUAAUGUGACACAAAUAAACACAGGAAAGGUGAUUGUAAAGGUGAAGUAUAAAGAAGAUAUAAUAAAAUUUGAGUUGUCUCUGUCAUCAUUAGGAUUGGCAAAGCUUAGUGAAGAAGUGGCGAAGAGACUGAAAGAAGUGGCGAAGAGACUAAAUCUGGAGAUGGGUAGUUUCAAUUUGAAAUACAUGGAUGAAGAUGGUGAUGAGAUUUUAAUAUGCAACGAUGAUGAUUUGCAACUCUGUCCAAAGACUAGAACGACAAAAGGCGAGACACUCAUCCAACUGUUGGUUCGAUGACAAUACUAGCUCCACUUUUUUCUUUCAAUUCAUUUAUGAACAAGCGCCUUUUGACUGAAGUUCAUGGGCGCACGCUUGGAGUUUGGACAUUGCUACUUGCACUCUUUGCUAUCUCUGUGCGUUCAACCUCGAUAACAAGCCUCUGUAUUUGGCCACAUUUCUAUCCUUUAUCUAUGCGUUCAGCUAUUUCCUGUCGGGAUAUCUGAUUUACCACACAACUGUUGGCUUCUUUGCUGGUAAAGCCCCUGCUGUUAACUGAAAAUGAAGAUGUAUCAUCACUCUUGUUUAGAAACCAUGCCAUUGCUUUCCUAUUGCCUUUGUUUAUAUUUAGUUCAAUAUGAAACAUGCCUAUCACACGGAGCACUAUAACAAGUAUUUUGGAUUUAUUUAAA